CGGGUGAGUAAUGCCUAGGAAUCUGCCUGGUAGUGGGGGACAACGUUUCGAAAGGAACGCUAAUACCGCAUACGUCCUACGGGAGAAAGCAGGGGACCUUCGGGCCUUGCGCUAUCAGAUGAGCCUAGGUCGGAUUAGCUAGUUGGUGAGGUAAUGGCUCACCAAGGCGACGAUCCGUAACUGGUCUGAGAGGAUGAUCAGUCACACUGGAACUGAGACACGGUCCAGACUCCUACGGGAGGCAGCAGCU
RNAcentral lists this ribosomal RNA (250 nucleotides) under uncultured Pseudomonas sp. RNAcentral describes it as "partial 16S ribosomal RNA". It matches the Rfam family "Bacterial small subunit ribosomal RNA", at positions 103 to 355 of the family's 1533-position model. Lineage: Bacteria; Pseudomonadati; Pseudomonadota; Gammaproteobacteria; Pseudomonadales; Pseudomonadaceae. The record is from RNAcentral.